GAUGAACGCUGGCGGCGUGCUUAACACAUGCAAGUCGAACGGUGAAGAGGGAGCUUGCUCCUCUGGAUCAGUGGCGAACGGGUGAGUAACACGUGAGUAACCUGCCCUUGACUCUGGGAUAAGCACUGGAAACGGUGUCUAAUAUCGGAUACGACCUCCGAAGCAUCUUCUGGAAGUGGAAAGAUUUCGGCAAGGAUGGACUCGCGGCCUAUCAGCUAGNGGUGAGGUAACGG
Molecule: ribosomal RNA, 233 nt
Filed under: uncultured bacterium
Lineage: Bacteria
Description: partial 16S ribosomal RNA
Rfam family: Bacterial small subunit ribosomal RNA
Source: RNAcentral